AGAGUUUGAUCAUGGCUCAGGACGAACGCUGGCGGCGUGCUUAACACAUGCAAGUCGAGCGGAAAGGCCCUUCGGGGUACUCGAGCGGCGAACGGGUGAGUAACACGUGAGCAACCUGCCCUUAGCUUUGGGAUAACCCUCGGAAACGGGGGCUAAUACCGAAUGUUCACUGUCUGACGCAUGUUGGGUGGUGGAAAGUUUUUCGGCUGGGGAUGGGCUCGCGGCCUAUCAGCUUGUUGGUGGGGUGAUGGCCUACCAAGGCGACGACGGGUAGCCGGCCUGAGAGGGCGACCGGCCACACUGGGACUGAGACACGGCCCAGACUCCUACGGGAGGCAGCAGUGGGGAAUAUUGCACAAUGGGCGGAAGCCUGAUGCAGCGACGCCGCGUGAGGGAUGACGGCCUUCGGGUUGUAAACCUCUUUCAGCAGGGACGAAGCGCAAGUGACGGUACCUGCAGAAGAAGCGCCGGCCACUACGUGCCAGCAGCCGCGGUA
Molecule: ribosomal RNA, 496 nt
Filed under: uncultured Actinomycetes bacterium
Lineage: Bacteria; Bacillati; Actinomycetota; Actinomycetes
Description: bacterial SSU rRNA
Rfam family: Bacterial small subunit ribosomal RNA
Source: RNAcentral